UUUGUCUUGGUGUAAGGAGCACACAAAUUUUUGGUGUUUGGGGUAGAUAGAU
RNAcentral lists this transfer RNA (52 nucleotides) under Gammarus nipponensis. RNAcentral's name for it is "tRNA-Gln". The record is from RNAcentral. Lineage: Eukaryota; Metazoa; Arthropoda; Malacostraca; Amphipoda; Gammaridae.